GAAUUCCAUAAGAGGCGCGCAUUCUUUAUAAUUAAUAAAAUAACGUCUUGAUAGGAAAUACACACACAGUUCAAUUACGUCUUGUGCUGCUCGAAUAUAUAUAGCGCAUCCCACACAGCAACAUCGCGGGAAUGCCUGUGUUUAAAGGGAAUCCAAGAGGAGUUGUAGAGCCUCAGCCUUAACUUGACCAAGCAUCGCAUCCUCUACUGAAACUGCCUGCGUCUUGACGUCAUUUAGAGGCGCCCAAACAAGGUUGGCGCCAACCUAGAGAGAGAGAGAGAGAGGGGGCGAGUUCAUAUGGGAAAGCUGGAGAGCAAAAUUUAAGAGUUCUAAAGUAACGAUGGACAUAAGAAAAUUCUUUGGGGUGCAGCCAAAAAAAUCCACAAGUGAACCAGCAACAAGUGGUAAAUCAAAGGAAAAUGAGGAAAAGAAGAAGACACGUACAAAUGGAAAUGCUGGCUCUAAGGU
This is a long non-coding RNA of Polypterus senegalus (gray bichir), 468 nucleotides long. RefSeq lists it as uncharacterized. The transcript has 2 exons. The record is from RefSeq and is a predicted model, not a curated record. Lineage: Eukaryota; Metazoa; Chordata; Cladistia; Polypteriformes; Polypteridae.